CCUGUACUACAGCAGAGAGAGCGAGAGGAGGGACGUCAGCUGGCACCGCUCUGCAACCCCCCCCCAGCUGAUGCUGCAUUACCUCGACAACCGGCUCCGGGGUCACUGCCAGCUCUCUGCCCAGCACCCGGCCAGCCCCCCCGCCGACCUGAACCGGACCCGCCCCAAACCUGCACGGCCCCGCCCACAACUGGCAACCUGCAGGAGUCAUCAGGGCUGCGACAGAAAAGCCUAGUGAAGCCCGUAAACUCACCUCAUAAAGAUUUAUUUCCUGAGAUGGAGCGAUGAUUAGAAGAGAGAGAGGGAGCGAGAGAGAGAGGAGGGAAAGAUGACUCCACCACCCUGGGGGGAGGACGAGGUGAGAUGGAACCACUUCUCCGCUCACCAAUGGUUCCAUCUCUCCCGCCAUCGGAGCGCCAUCUGCUGGCCCGGUGGGGCGGGACAGCUGGUGUUGUGAAUCAGGCCGCCACAAUCAAAGGAACGGCUACUUCCCAACACCAGGGUCUCACCCUCACCCCUCUCACCCCAUCCCAACACCAGGAUCUGACCCCUCUCACCCCAUCGCCUCGGCUGGCAACGAGCCGCUCAGCGUAUGUUUCAAAGCGAGUGCUUUGUACUCUCCGGAUGAAAUGGCGAUCGGUAAUACUGGGACUUUGUACAAAUCUGUGUGGAGUUUAUGUUCCUUUUACAUCAUAUCUCCUGAAAUUAGGAAUUAGAAGAAAGUACAGCAAAUAUCCCAAAUAAAAAUGUUAAAUUAUUUCAAACCCCAUAGAACACACACAAAAAAUGAUGACAUGAAAUACAAUAAAAAAUGUUUCCCUAAUAAAUGAAUUAAAUGUGAAUUUAAAAAGAAUAUGACAAUGGUUUUGUCUUUUAAUAAAAGCUACUUGUUAAAGACUUCAUGGGAGUAUUUAUAAUAUAUAAUGGCAAUGCGCCACCAGAAAAUGACCUGAAUGUAUAUACUUUUUUUCCCCUCAUGAACAGCAGUGUGUUCACACCAAACUAAGCCCUUAAGCUGCUGAAGCUGUAGCUGAUCACCUCCGGCCACUAAGGGAUGAAAAUGUAUAUUGCUCAUUAUCUUAAUAAACCACCACCCUUCUGCUGAUUGCCUUA
Long non-coding RNA from Gasterosteus aculeatus aculeatus (three-spined stickleback), 1113 nucleotides. RefSeq lists it as uncharacterized. The record is from RefSeq and is a predicted model, not a curated record. NCBI's taxonomy places the organism in Eukaryota, Metazoa, Chordata, Actinopteri, Perciformes, Gasterosteidae.